UUUGUAAAGGGCAAGGGCAGAAGCAACAAGAUUAUAGCAAGAUUAUAACAAUGAUGGAGAGAAGGAGAUGAAUUCAGGACAUAUUUUAGAUGCAGAGCUCACAGGACUUGCUGAUGAAUUAGAUACACGGUGGGAAUCAGUGAGAAAAGGGAAAGGGAGGAAGGAUGUUUCCUAGGUUUUUAGCCUGAACAAGCAGAAGCCAUCAUAUCCCCAGAUGGGGAACACUACUGGGAGAGGAAUGGAUUGGUUGGGGGCAGCAGUGGUAAUUCGAGACAUCUAUUUGAGCCAUAGGAGCUUUAUAUGGCUAUUAGGCAUCCAAGUGGAGAUGUCAAGUAGGCUGUUGGAUAAACGAGUCUGGAGCGCUGGAUAUAAAUUUAGGACUUGCUGACAUUUACAUAGUAUUUAAGCCCUGGGACUGGAUGACAUCACUGGACAGAGAAUGUGGAACGAGAAGGGGGCCAAGGACUAAGCCCUAGCAAGUUCUCACAUUUAGAGGUCAGGCAGAAGACGGAGAAGGAAAAGCCAGGGAGGAUGAAGGGAAAUUAGAAGAGUGUAAUGUCCUAGAAGUACAACUCAAGUAAAACAGGGUAACCUGAAGUGGGGGCGGGUAGGACAGGAUGAGAGUGGGGGCAGGGGAAGCCCAUUUAGAUAGAGAGGUUAGGGAAGGCCUCGCAGAGGAGGUGACAUUGGAUCUAACUGAAAUUUUAAUCAAAUGAGUGAAUCAUUGUGAAAAGCCAGGGUAAAACAUUCCAGGCAGUGGGAACAGCAAAUGCAAAGGCCCUGUGGCAGGUUAAGCCCUUCUAACUGUAGUAACAUAGAUCAGGUCCAGUGUGGCUGGGGCAUGAAGAGUGUUAGGAGGGGCGGGGCCAGGUUAUACAGGGCCCUGUAAGUCACGGUGAGGAGUUUGAUACUCUGAGCGCAAGAAAAGCUGAGUAAUGCAACUCGGUCUACCUAUUUUAAAGAUCGUUUGGUUUGCUUCGGGGAGAAUGCAUUGCAGCAGGACCAGAAUGGAAUCAGGCGAUCAAGCUGUUGGGAUAAUCCAAGGUCUCCACUCCCACCCUGACCCCGACCUCAUCCCCAGCACUCAGCACUCUCCAGCAGGGGCGAAACAGAGUUGGGGUCACAGAGCUUUGGGUGGCUCAGAAUCUCAGAGAUUGACCGGGGCAACCAAGGGUGUCCAUGGAGGUGGGGUGAAGGGUGGAGAAGCCCGCCACCGGAACCCGGGGAAUCGGACGGUGCUCACCCUCCGCUGCCCUCUCGCAUUCUCCACCUGGGACGCAGCCGGGCGCGGCUCCCCAGGCGCGGCAGCGGGAGGGUUAAACCAUGCGGGAGGGGGAGAGGCGGAGACCAAGCGCUCCGAGCUGCCGCGCCGAGCCCCGCCGGGCCGAGCGCAGCCCGAGCCGAGCCGAGCCGAGCCGAGCAUCUCCCGCCGCCGCCGCCGCCGCCGCCGCCGCCCCGCGCCCCGGGCGCCCGCCCCCACCCUCUACAGCACCCCGCUGCCCUCAGAACCCCCCGACCAUGCCCAGUGCCCCACACGCUCCCGCGACCCCCCAGCCCGGCGCAGCCCCGAGCUCCCGCAGCCAUCGCGCCGCCGCGCCAGGCAUGCAGGUGAGCGAGAGGAACCCCCACGCCCCCGCCCGAGGGAGCCCGGCCCUGCCCUCCCCGACUCCGCGCCUUUCGCCCCCCGCCCCUCCAGGCGCGGUCCCUCGCCCGGCUCGAGCCUCCAGCCCGUAAGCGCGCCUUCCCCACCACGCUUUCCUUUGCUCCAUGGGUCCCGACUCCAUCCUGCCUUUCUGGCGCAGCGGUCGCCGUCCCCGCCGCUGCCUUCCUCCCGCCUUGGGCUCAACCCCCGGCUCCUUGCAUCCUCCAGCCUCGGCUUCCCUUUCUGCUCUCGGCGCUCCCGCCCGAGGAGACCCCUCGCCUACCUCCUGGUCCUCGUCCCCCGCCCCCCUUAUCGCUUUCCAGCCCUGUCCAGGGAGCGUGGGCCUGUGGGAGGGGUGGGCUCGCGGCCGCGCUGGGGAUGGGGCCCGGUUCCCCCAGCCCGAGGCUCCCGCCCCACCCCCAGCUCGUCUCCUGCGCACAACAGUAAAGGCUGA
RNAcentral lists this long non-coding RNA (2096 nucleotides) under Delphinapterus leucas (beluga whale). RNAcentral describes it as "lncRNA (ENSDLEG00000015319.1)". The record is from RNAcentral. Lineage: Eukaryota; Metazoa; Chordata; Mammalia; Artiodactyla; Monodontidae.